GACGAACGCUGGCGGCGGGCUUAACACAUGCAAGUCGAACGGAAAGGCCCUGCUUUUUUGGGGUGCCCGAGUGGCGAACGGGUGAGAAACACGUGAGUAUCCUGCCCUUGACUUUGGGAUAACUUCAGGAAACUGGGGCUACUACCGGAUAGGAGCUGCUGCAGGAUGGGGGGGGUUGGAACUUUUGGGCUGGUGGGGAUGGAUUCGCGGCUUAUCAGCUGGUUGGUGGGGGAGUGGCUUACCCAGCCAUUGACGGAUAGCCGGCAUGGGAGGGUGACCGGGGUCAAUAGGACUGAGAUACGGCGCAGUCUCGAACAGGAGACAGCAGGCGGGAGUAUUGUACAGUGGGCGCGAGCGUGAGGAGGCGGCGCCGGGUGCGUGAUGACGGCCUUCGGGUUGUGAACCGCAGUAGCCUGAGACGAAGCGGGUGUGACGGUAAUGGGAGAAGAAGCACCGGCUAACUACGUG
This 468-nucleotide ribosomal RNA is filed under the name uncultured bacterium. RNAcentral describes it as "partial 16S ribosomal RNA". It matches the Rfam family "Bacterial small subunit ribosomal RNA", at positions 28 to 507 of the family's 1533-position model. The record is from RNAcentral.